RNAcentral lists this ribosomal RNA (497 nucleotides) under uncultured bacterium. RNAcentral describes it as "partial 16S ribosomal RNA". It matches the Rfam family "Bacterial small subunit ribosomal RNA", at positions 28 to 507 of the family's 1533-position model. The record is from RNAcentral.
GAUGAACGCUGGCGGCGUGCCUAAUACAUGCAAGUCGAGCGAACAGACGAGGAGCUUGCUCCUCUGACGUUAGCGGCGGACGGGUGAGUAACACGUGGAUAACCUACCUAUAAGACUGGGAUAACUUUGGGAAACCGGAGCUAAUACCGGAUAAUAUAUUGAACCGCAUGGUUCAAUAGUGAAAGACGGUUUUGCUGUCACUUAUAGAUGGAUCCGCGCCGCAUUAGCUAGUUGGUAAGGUAACGGCUUACCAAGGCGACGAUGCGUAGCCGACCUGAGAGGGCGAUCGGCCACACUGGAACUGAGACACGGUCCAGACUCCUACGGGAGGCAGCAGUAGGGAAUCUUCCGCAAUGGGCGAAAGCCUGACGGAGCAACGCCGCGUGAGUGAUGAAGGUCUUCGGAUCGUAAAACUCUGUUAUUAGGGAAGAACAAAUGUGUAAGUAACUAUGCACGUCUUGACGGUACCUAAUCAGAAAGCCACGGCUAACUACGUG